RNAcentral lists this ribosomal RNA (519 nucleotides) under uncultured bacterium. RNAcentral's name for it is "partial 16S ribosomal RNA". It matches the Rfam family "Bacterial small subunit ribosomal RNA", at positions 28 to 507 of the family's 1533-position model. The record is from RNAcentral.
GACGAACGCUGGCGGCGUGCCUAAUACAUGCAAGUCGAGCGAGUCUGCCUUGAAGAUCGGAGUGCUUGCACUCUGUGAAACAAGAUACAGGCUAGCGGCGGACGGGUGAGUAACACGUGGGUAACCUGCCCAAGAGAUCGGGAUAACACCUGGAAACAGAUGCUAAUACCGGAUAACAACAGAUGAUGCCUAUCAACUGUUUAAAAGAUGGUUCUGCUAUCACUCUUGGAUGGACCUGCGGUGCAUUAGCUAGUUGGUAGGGUAACGGCCUACCAAGGCGACGAUGCAUAGCCGAGUUGAGAGACUGAUCGGCCACAUUGGGACUGAGACACGGCCCAAACUCCUACGGGAGGCAGCAGUAGGGAAUCUUCCACAAUGGACGCAAGUCUGAUGGAGCAACGCCGCGUGAGUGAAGAAGGGUUUCGGCUCGUAAAGCUCUGUUGUUGGUGAAGAAGGACAGGGGUAGUAACUGACCUUUGUUUGACGGUAAUCAAUGAGAAAGUCACGGCUAACUACGUG